AUUGAACGCUGGCGGCAGGCUUAACACAUGCAAGUCGAGCGGAGACUUCGGUCUUAGCGGCGAACGGGUGAGUAAUACCUAGGAAUCUGCCUAUUAGUGGGGGAUAACGAAUCGAAAGGUUCGCUAAUACCGCAUACGUCCUACGGGAGAAAGGGGGGGAGUCUUCGGACCUCUCGCUAAUAGAUGAGCCUAGGCCGGAUUAGCUAGUUGGUAGGGUAAAGGCCUACCAAGGCGACGAUCUGUAGCUGGUCUGAGAGGAUGGCCAGCCACACUGGAACUGAGACACGGUCCAGACUCCUACGGGAGGCAGCAGUGGGGAAUAUUGGACAAUGGGGGCGAACCCUGAUCCAGCCAUGCCGCGUGUGUGAAGAAGGCCUUCGGUUGUAAG
This 388-nucleotide ribosomal RNA is filed under the name uncultured bacterium. RNAcentral describes it as "bacterial SSU rRNA". It matches the Rfam family "Bacterial small subunit ribosomal RNA", at positions 30 to 429 of the family's 1533-position model. The record is from RNAcentral.